This 253-nucleotide ribosomal RNA is filed under the name uncultured bacterium. Its description in RNAcentral is "partial 16S ribosomal RNA". It matches the Rfam family "Bacterial small subunit ribosomal RNA", at positions 524 to 776 of the family's 1533-position model. The record is from RNAcentral.
UACGAAGGGUGCAAGCGUUAAUCGGAAUUACUGGGCGUAAAGGGCGCGUAGGCGGCGUGGUAAGUCACUUGUGAAAUCUCUGAGCUUAACUCAGAACGGUCAAGUGAUACUGCUGUGCUAGAGUGCGGAAGGGGCAAUCGGAAUUCUUGGUGUAGCGGUGAAAUGCGUAGAUAUCAAGAGGAACACCUGAGGUGAAGACGGGUUGCUGGGCCGACACUGACGCUGAUGCGCGAAAGCCAGGGGAGCAAACGGG